Molecule: ribosomal RNA, 252 nt
Filed under: uncultured bacterium
Lineage: Bacteria
Description: partial 16S ribosomal RNA
Rfam family: Bacterial small subunit ribosomal RNA
Source: RNAcentral
UACGUAGGUGGCAAGCGUUGUCCGGAAUUAUUGGGCGUAAAGCGCGCGCAGGCGGGAUGGUAAGUCUAACUUAAAAGUGCGGGGCUCAACCCCGUGAGGGGUUAGAAACUACCAUUCUUGAGUACAGGAGAGGAAAGUGGAAUUCCCAGUGUAGCGGUGAAAUGCGUAGAUAUUGGGAGGAACACCAGUGGCGAAGGCGACUUUCUGGACUGUGUCUGACGCUGAGGCGCGAAAGCCAGGGGAGUGAACGGG